This 930-nucleotide ribosomal RNA is filed under the name Triticum aestivum (bread wheat). Its description in RNAcentral is "partial small subunit ribosomal RNA". The record is from RNAcentral. Lineage: Eukaryota; Viridiplantae; Streptophyta; Magnoliopsida; Poales; Poaceae.
AUGUCGUGCAACGUUCGGCUGCUUCGACUCAGCAACCAUGACCCCAGUGAUCUAGAUGCUCAAUAUGAGAAUAUAGAGGAUGUUCUGCUUCACGCUCACAUUGCCUCCCACCAUCUGACGACAUUGGAGCUCGAGGGCGUGAUGUUCUCGUGCGAAUACCCUCUGGAUUUAUCGAGCUGCCCCAACCUGGAGACCAUCAAGAUGAACCGAUGCUCCUCACUAAUUCACGUCAAUAUAUGGUCACGAUCUGUGCGAUGUCUUUGUAUCACGGAGUACGAUUUUUAUAGCUAUGAUGAGGAGAAACCUCGUGCUGCCGUUUAUGUCCCAAGCCUCGUCUACUUGGAGCUGAACGGCGGCCGUGGCCUGGUUCCUGCGUUUGAGAGCAUGCCCUUGUUGCAAACAGCAUCUAUCAAGUUUGACUGGACUUCAACUAGGGAAGACAACAAUGAUGGUUUCUUGCUUCUUGGACGCCUGUCAGAUGCCACUAAUCUAGAACUCAUAUCCGAGCCUCAAGCGCUUUCUUUCAGGAAAGAUUUAAUGCGGUGCACUGCAUUUAGCAAGCUCAAAACCUUGUCACUCAAUGAUUGGUGUGUAGAGCCUGAUUUUGGCCCACUACUCCACUUUCUCCAGAGGUCACCAAGUCUCGAGAAGCUCUGCCUCCGACUGUCUAAGCCAGAUGAACAUGCUAAAGAAACAAACGCAAGCUAUGUUUCAACUGAACCAUUUUUGGCAUCGAAGCAUCUUAGGGUUGUCAAGAUCAGAUGUCAGGCAAAUGAUGAGCGAGUUCCCAAAAUUUUGAAGGUCAUGAGUUCCUAUGGAGUACCUGCUGAGCAAAUCGACGUUAAGGAAGGAAAUUGGUCUUCCGAGGGAUCAUAUUCAGAUUCUGAGCAGUCAGACUAUUCGUAUUCAGAUACGGAUGAGUCAGAUUAA